This 527-nucleotide ribosomal RNA is filed under the name Carpetania elisae. RNAcentral describes it as "Hormogaster elisae partial 16S ribosomal RNA". It matches the Rfam family "Bacterial large subunit ribosomal RNA", at positions 1857 to 2624 of the family's 2925-position model. Lineage: Eukaryota; Metazoa; Annelida; Clitellata; Crassiclitellata; Hormogastridae. The record is from RNAcentral.
UCCUGCCCAGUGACAUAAUUCAACGGCCGCGGUAUCCUAACCGUGCAAAGGUAGCAUAAUCACUUGUCUAUUAAUUGUAGACUAGAAUGAAAGGAAAACGAAAUAUAGUCUGUCUCUAUAAAACAAAAAAAUAUCUAACUGAAGAGUGUUAGAUAAAAUCGAAGGACAAGAAGACCCUAUAGAGCUUUAUCUAAACAAGAAAUAAUUUAUAGGAUUCGGUUGGGGCGACCAAGGAUAUCUUUAAUCAUCCUUCAUCAAUAGAUUUAUCAAUCCAAAUUUAGACAACCAACCUUAGGGAUAACAGGCUAAUCCUGCUAGAGAGUCCUUAUCUAAAGCAGGGAUUGGCACCUCGAUGUUGGCUUAGGGAAACUAUGUGACGCAAAAGUCACAUAAAGAUGGUUUGUUCAACCAAUAAAUCCCUACAUGAGCUGAGUUCAGACCGGCGUCCUAGCCAUAGUACGAAAGGACCUGGAUAAGGGUAAAUCAACAAAUGAAUUAAUAUAAUAAUUUCUAAUACUAAAAACUAU